UACGUAGGGUGCAAGCGUUGUCCGGAAUUAUUGGGCGUAAAGAGCUCGUAGGCGGUCUGUCGCGUCGGCUGUGAAAUCCCGGGGCUCAACCCCGGGCCUGCAGUCGAUACGGGCAGACUAGAGUGCGGUAGGGGAGACUGGAAUUCCUGGUGUAGCGGUGAAAUGCGCAGAUAUCAGGAAGAACACCCGUGGCGAAGGCGGCUCUCUGGAACGCAACUGACGCUGAGACGCGAAAGCGUGGGGAGCAAACAGG
RNAcentral lists this ribosomal RNA (253 nucleotides) under uncultured bacterium. RNAcentral describes it as "partial 16S ribosomal RNA". It matches the Rfam family "Bacterial small subunit ribosomal RNA", at positions 524 to 776 of the family's 1533-position model. The record is from RNAcentral.